UUCAGGGUAUGUAUGACUAAAUAUCUACAUCUAUUCUGCAGCAUUUUACACACCAGAGUAGACAAGUGUGUCCUGCAACAACCGGGUGGACAUUUGAGUGUUCUGUAACAACUGGGUAGACACUUGAGUGUUCUGUAACAACUGGGUAGACACUUGAGUGUUCUGUAACAACUGGGUAGACACUUGAGUGUUCUCUAACAACUGGGUAGACACUUGAGUGUUCUGUAACAACUGGGUAGACACAUGAGUG
This is a long non-coding RNA of Haliotis rubra (blacklip abalone), 250 nucleotides long. RefSeq lists it as uncharacterized. The record is from RefSeq and is a predicted model, not a curated record. Lineage: Eukaryota; Metazoa; Mollusca; Gastropoda; Lepetellida; Haliotidae. The transcript is spliced from 2 exons.